This 783-nucleotide ribosomal RNA is filed under the name uncultured bacterium. RNAcentral's name for it is "bacterial SSU rRNA". It matches the Rfam family "Bacterial small subunit ribosomal RNA", at positions 97 to 916 of the family's 1533-position model. The record is from RNAcentral.
GCGGCACGGGUUGAGUAAUGCAUAGGAAUCUGCCUUGUAGUCUAGGAUAGCCACUGGAAACGGUGAUUAAUACUGGAUAUUCCGGAGACGGGAAAGUUUUUCGCUACAAGAUGAGCCUAUGUUCUAUCAGCUUGUUGGUAAGGUAAAAGCUUACCAAGGCUAUGACGGAUAACUGGUCUGAGAGGAUGAUCAGUCACACUGGAACUGAGACACGGUCCAGACUCCUACGGGAGGCAGCAGUAGGGAAUUUUGCACAAUGGGGGAAACCCUGAUGCAGCGACGCCGCGUGGAGGAUGAAGGUUUUCGGAUCGUAAACUCCUUUUUUAUGGGAAGAUAAUGACGGUACCAUAAGAAUAAGCACCGGCUAACUCCGUGCCAGCAGCCGCGGUAAUACGGAGGGUGCAAGCGUUACUCGGAUUUACUGGGCGUAAAGGGUGCGUAGGUGGAUGUGUAAGUCAGAUGUGAAAUCCUAGGGCUCAACCUUAGAACUGCAUUUGAAACUACACGUCUUGAGUUUGGGAGAGGUAGAUGGAAUUCUCGGUGUAGGGGUAAAAUCCGUAGAUAUCGAGAGGAAUACUCAUUGCGAAGGCGAUCUACUAGAACAAUACUGACACUGAGGCACGAAAGCGUGGGGAGCAGACAGGAUUAGAUACCCUGGUAGUCCACGCCCUAAACGAUGAACACUAGUUGUUGCGAUGCACGUCAUUGCAGUAACACAGCUAACGCAUUAAGUGUUCCGCCUGGGGAGUACGGUCGCAAGAUUAAAACUCAAGGAAUUGACGG